Molecule: unclassified non-coding RNA, 253 nt
Filed under: uncultured bacterium
Lineage: Bacteria
Description: contains 16S-23S intergenic spacer region
Rfam family: Bacterial small subunit ribosomal RNA
Source: RNAcentral
GACGAGGGGUGCAAACGUUAUUCGGAAUGAUUGGGCGAAAAGGGUGCGCAGGCGGUAUGCUAAGUCAACUGUUAAAUUCCUCAGCCUAACUGAGGGUCAGCGGUAGAUACUGGCGUGCUUGAGAGUGGGAGAGAGAAGUGGAAUUCUCGGAGUAGCGGUAAAAUGCGUAGAUCUCGAGAGGAACACCGAUGGCGAAGGCAGGUCUCUGGGCCAUUACUGACACUGAGGAGCGAAAGCGUGGGGAGCGAACAGG